GUGUGUGGGGGGGGUGCAUUGUGUCUGUGUGUUUGAAGGGAUACAGUGUGUGCGUGGGGGGUACAGUGUGUGUGUAUUGAGGGGGGCAGUGUGUUUGUGGGGGCAGAGAGUAAUUGAGGGGUAUAGUGUGUGCGUGAGGGGUAUAGUGUGUGUGUGUGUAUGGGGGCAGUGUGUGUGAGGGGUACAAUGUGUGUGUGGGUGGCAGGGUGUGUAUGUGUGUAUGGAGGGCAGUGUGUGUGUGUACAGGGGGCAAUGUGUAUA
This is a non-coding RNA of Pelobates cultripes (western spadefoot toad), 261 nucleotides long. Lineage: Eukaryota; Metazoa; Chordata; Amphibia; Anura; Pelobatidae. The record is from the annotation of a GenBank genome assembly.